UCUUAGCAACCGAUUUGGUCCUAGUCCUCUUCUUGGUUUUAUCUAGACCGAUACAUGCAAGCUAAUUAACAGCACAGUGAGUAGAAUUAAAGUUAUACUCUAAAGAAAUAACUUUUAUAGUAGGUAUCAGAAAAUUAACCAAAAAUUCUAAAACACCUAGCCCCCCACAUCUGCAGUACCUAACAUUAUACAAUAAGCAAAAGCUUGAUAUAGUUAUAGACUAAAGAGUUGGUUAAUUAUGUGCCAGCCACCGCGGUUAUACAUAAGACUCAAACUAAGAAACCUAUAUCGGUUUAAAGGUGAUUAAGGCUGAACUACUUUAAGGUGAAAAACAACUCCAGUACUAACAAGCUUUUACAGUAAACUAACAACAAAAUAAAACUUACCUUAACACCACACCCUGAAACACCAAAGCUCAAAAAUAAACUGGGAUUAGAUACCCCACUAUAUGAGCCUUAAAAAACCAAAAACACCCAGAGAA
Molecule: ribosomal RNA, 481 nt
Filed under: Astropecten polyacanthus
Lineage: Eukaryota; Metazoa; Echinodermata; Asteroidea; Paxillosida; Astropectinidae
Description: partial 12S ribosomal RNA
Source: RNAcentral